This 245-nucleotide unclassified non-coding RNA is filed under the name Leptosphaeria sp. RNAcentral's name for it is "partial internal transcribed spacer region". The stretch from base 1 to 46 matches the Rfam family "Eukaryotic small subunit ribosomal RNA", at positions 1786 to 1831 of the family's 1831-position model. The record is from RNAcentral. Lineage: Eukaryota; Fungi; Ascomycota; Dothideomycetes; Pleosporales; Leptosphaeriaceae.
AAGUCGUAACAAGGUUUCCGUAGGUGAACCUGCGGAAGGAUCAUUACCUUUCAAUGCAGAAGAGUUGAGAUGGUUGAGUAUCUCGCCUCUCAAUUCUCGCUGUAUUUUACCCUUGUUUUUCUCAUACUAUUAUUUCCUCGGCAGGCGAGCCUGCCGGGUGAAACAACUUCAAACCUGUUUAAUUUUCAAUCAGCGUCUGAACAAAUUAAUAAUUACAACUUUCAACAACGGAUCUCUUGGUUCUG